RNAcentral lists this ribosomal RNA (486 nucleotides) under uncultured Methanolinea sp. Its description in RNAcentral is "bacterial SSU rRNA". It matches the Rfam family "Archaeal small subunit ribosomal RNA", at positions 852 to 1338 of the family's 1478-position model. Lineage: Archaea; Methanobacteriati; Methanobacteriota; Methanomicrobia; Methanomicrobiales; Methanoregulaceae. The record is from RNAcentral.
AAACUCAAAGGAAUUGACGGGGAGCACCACAACAGGUGGAGCCUGCGGUUUAAUCGGACUCAACGCCGGGAAUCUCACCGGAUAAGACAGCUGGAUGAUAGCCGGGCUGAAGACUCUGCUUGACUAGCUGAGAGGAGGUGCAUGGCCGUCGUCAGUUCGUACUGUGAAGCAUCCUGUUAAGUCAGGCAACGAGCGAGACCCACGCCCACAGUUGCCAGCGUACUCUCUGGAGUGACGGGUACACUGUGGGGACCGCCGCUGCUAAAGCGGAGGAAGGAAUGGGCAACGGUAGGUCAGUAUGCCCCGAAUAUCCCGGGCUACACGCGAGCUACAAUGGUUGGUACAAUGGGUAUCUACCCCGAAAGGGGACGGGAAUCUCCUAAAACCAAUCUUAGUUCGGAUUGAGGGCUGCAACUCGCCCUCAUGAAGCUGGAAUCCGUAGUAAUCGCGUUUCAACAGAACGCGGUGAAUACGUCCCUGCUCCUU